This 1105-nucleotide long non-coding RNA is filed under the name Chloebia gouldiae (Gouldian finch). RNAcentral's name for it is "Erythrura gouldiae (Gouldian finch) lncRNA (ENSEGOG00005012347.1)". Lineage: Eukaryota; Metazoa; Chordata; Aves; Passeriformes; Passeridae. The record is from RNAcentral.
CUGAAAGGUUAAUAGGUUACCAGAGAACCAUUUGGAAGACUGAAAAACAGAGGAAGGGUAGGUCAGAUCUGGAAGGAAAAUGGUAACAUUCACCCCCUCCCUUUACCCAAAUACGUUUUAAAAUAUUUUAAUUCUCAAGUCAGGAUGAUAUUUAUGGGAAUAAUAACUCGGGCUUUCUUUUAGUAAUUGAAAUUAAACAGCACUUGCUCUAGUAAGGACAGUUUCUUAUCCAUCUGUCACCACAAGUACAAGUAAUUCCAUGUGUUUAGCAGUAUCUGAACACCUAGUGCUACAGUUGGAUAACACUUGGCUGAAAAGUUUCCUAGCAUGAUCUGCAAUCAGAAAAUAACCAAAACCAAAUAUUCUUUGCCCCAGGAUAUGCAUAAUUUAAACUAACUGCAAAGAAAUUGCCAGACUUGAAGUCUGUUACAAAUAUCCACAUGCUUGUUUAAUCUAAGAACCUCAGGGGGAAAGGACACUUUGAUAACAGAAGGAUCUUAAAUAUAAAAAGCAUUAAAAUCCACGCAUGGAUUUCCAUCCAUGGAUUUUGAAGCUAGACAUGUUCCAGAUGGAAAUGUCACUCUUCCCAGCAAACAAGACUAACUACAGCAGCCCAUGGAAUAACACCAUGAAUUGUCUAACAAAAUGCCUCCUUCACAAUCUGAUAAUCUCACUGACAAAAAAUUCAGCUCCUCUCUACUUCCCUUAACGGUAUUGAUUUGUUCCGAGUAGGCUGCGGAAUGAGAAUAUUGACCACCUUUGUGCUUCUCCGCAGAGAGCCCUCGGUGGGCUGGGAGCCCUCGGUGGGCUGGGAGCCCUCGGUGGGCCGGGAGCCCGGCAGUCUCACAGCCCUCGCUGGGCGGGAGCCCGGCAGUCUCACAGCCCUCGCUGGGCGGGAGCCCGGCAGUCUCACAGCCCUCGCUCCUCAGCCCGGCAGUCUCACAGCCCUCGCUCCUCAGCCCGGCAGUCUCACAGCCCUCGGUGAACCGGGAGCCCGGCAGUCCCACAGCCCUCGCUCCUCAGCCCGGCCAUCAGCGCCGCUGCUCUCAUCAGCCGCUGACCGCGGGCCGCGAGGGACGCGCCGGGCAGGGCCGAGCCGCCAGGG